Molecule: ribosomal RNA, 385 nt
Filed under: uncultured Pseudomonas sp.
Lineage: Bacteria; Pseudomonadati; Pseudomonadota; Gammaproteobacteria; Pseudomonadales; Pseudomonadaceae
Description: bacterial SSU rRNA
Rfam family: Bacterial small subunit ribosomal RNA
Source: RNAcentral
AAAGGUGAAGGACCCGGUCUUCGGACUGGGAGCGUACACAGGUGCUGCAGUGGCUGUCGUCAGCUCGUGUCGUGAGAUGUUGGGUUAAGUCCCGUAACGAGCGCAACCUUGUCCUUAGUUACCAGCACGUUAUGGUGGGCACUCUAAGGAGACUGCCGGUGACAACCGGAGGAAGGUGGGGAUGACGUCAAGUCAUCAUGGCCCUUACGGCCUGGGCUACACACGUGCUACAAUGGUCGGUACAAAGGGUUGCCAAGCCGCGAGGUGGAGCUAAUCCCAUAAAACCGAUCGUAGUCCGGAUCGCAGUCUGCAACUCGACUGCGUGAAGUCGGAAUCGCUAGUAAUCGUGAAUCAGAAUGUCACGGUGAAUACGUUCCCGGGCCUU